Molecule: ribosomal RNA, 491 nt
Filed under: Microascales sp.
Lineage: Eukaryota; Fungi; Ascomycota; Sordariomycetes; Microascales
Description: eukaryotic LSU rRNA
Rfam family: Eukaryotic large subunit ribosomal RNA
Source: RNAcentral
AGUAACGGCGAGUGAAGCGGCAACAGCUCAGAUUUGAAAUCUGGCCCCCCCGGGGCCCGAGUUGUAAUCUGUAGAGGAUGCUUUUGGCGAGGCGCCGUCCGAGUUCCCUGGAACGGGACGCCGGAGAGGGUGAGAGCCCCGUACAGGCGGACGCCGAGCCUUUGUAAAGCUCCUUCGACGAGUCGAGUAGUUUGGGAAUGCUGCUCAAAGCGGGAGGUAAAUUUCUUCUAAAGCUAAAUACCGGCCAGAGACCGAUAGCGCACAAGUAGAGUGAUCGAAAGAUGAAAAGCACUUUGAAAAGAGAGUUAAAAAGCACGUGAAAUUGUUGAAAGGGAAGCGCCUGUGACCAGACUCGCGCCCGGCGGAUCAUCCGGCGUUCUCGCCGGUGCAGUGCGCCGGGCGCGGGCCAGCAUCGGUUCUUGCGGGGGGAGAAAAGCGGCGGGGAUGUGGCUCCCCCUUGAGUGGUAUAGCCCGCCGCCCAAUGCCCCCGC